GGUCCGGUGGCAGAGUGGCUAUGCAGCGGAUUGCAAAUCCGUGUACGUCGGUUCGAUUCCGGCCCGGACCUCCA
RNAcentral lists this transfer RNA (74 nucleotides) under Rhodospirillaceae bacterium. RNAcentral's name for it is "tRNA-Cys". It matches the Rfam family "tRNA". Rfam says of the family: Transfer RNA (tRNA) molecules are approximately 80 nucleotides in length. The record is from RNAcentral. Lineage: Bacteria; Pseudomonadati; Pseudomonadota; Alphaproteobacteria; Rhodospirillales; Rhodospirillaceae.